AACGUAGGAGGCGAGCGUUAUCCGGAUUCACUGGGCGUAAAGCGCGCGUAGGCGGUUGGUUAAGUCGAUCGUGAAAGCCCUCGGCUCAACUGGGGGAGGUCGUUCGAUACUGGCCGGCUUGAGGGUGAGAGAGGGGAGUGGAAUUCCCGGUGUAGCGGUGGAAUGCGUAGAGAUCGGGAGGAACACCAGUGGCGAAGGCGGCUCCCUGGCUCAUUCCUGACGCUGAGAGCGCGAAAGUGUGGGGA
RNAcentral lists this ribosomal RNA (245 nucleotides) under uncultured bacterium. RNAcentral's name for it is "partial 16S ribosomal RNA". It matches the Rfam family "Bacterial small subunit ribosomal RNA", at positions 524 to 767 of the family's 1533-position model. The record is from RNAcentral.